This 494-nucleotide ribosomal RNA is filed under the name uncultured bacterium. RNAcentral's name for it is "partial 16S ribosomal RNA". It matches the Rfam family "Bacterial small subunit ribosomal RNA", at positions 28 to 507 of the family's 1533-position model. The record is from RNAcentral.
GACGAACGCUGGCGGCGUGCUUAACACAUGCAAGUCGAACGGUGAAGCGCCUUCCUUUUUGGUGGGUGUGGAUGAGUGGCGAACGGGUGAGUAACACGUGAGUAACCUGCCCCCUUCUUCUGGAUAACCGCAUGAAAGUGUGGCUAAUACGGGAUAAUCUGGGUCUGUCGCAUGAUGGGUCUGGGAAGGAUAUUGUUUCGGUGGGGGAUGGGCUCGCGGCCUAUCAGCUUGUUGGUGGGGUGAUGGCCUACCAAGGCGGUGACGGGUAGCCGGCCUGGGAGGGUGGACGGUCUCACUGGGACUGAGGCACGGCCCAGCCUCCGACGGGAGGCAGCAGUGGGGAUUAGUGCACAAUGGGCGCAAGCCUGAUGCAGCGACGCCGCGUGAGGGAUGGUGUCCGUCCGGUUGUGAACCUCUUUCGCCAGUGAAGCAGGCCUGCCUCGUUUGUGGGUGGGUUGACGGUAGCUGGAUAAGAAGCGCCGGCUAACUACGUG